CCCCUUUCUUUCUUAUCAUCUUCACGAUAGAACCCAAAAAAGCCAACUUCAACCUCAUUCUUCUCCAUCUCCAUGAACUUUCUUUUCAACAAUGGAGACCCACUACGAAGGAGACCUACUGCAAUGGAGACACAUUGCGAUGGAGACCCACAACGACGUCGAAUCUAAACGUUUCAAAGACAACAACCCACAUUUGUUUUCUCAUCGACGGCAACCCACACUCGUGACCCAUACUCUUUUUAAAGAUUUCGAAGACAAGAAAAAGUCUGAAAAUAUUGAAGCCAGAGUUGGAAAAUGAGUUUCAUACCUUAACCGGGAGAAGAAGUUGGAUUCACUUGUAGGUUGAUGUCCUUCUGCUCCACAUGCCCCUAGAGGACGUUACAUAUAUGGCAAUGUUGGAAGUGGCAUUUAUAUGAUAUACUUAUUUUGGAAGAAUACUAUAUUUAGUACCUAAGGCCUUAGUUAUAACUUUACAGGUGCAGAAAGCACUUAUCUCUCUCUGUCUCUUCCAGAAUGAACUCCUGUUUGCUGAAAAUGAGAAUAUGCGGAAAAUGGUUGUGCGUGCGAUUGAGAUUGUAUUCUGUUUUUGUGGGGGUGUUUUUAAAGAUGAAGAUGGAAGAUUGGUUCUAAUGGAGCCGACAAAGUUCAUGAAAUUUUCUUCAAAGAAGCUAAUCAGGGUCAUCAAAAUACACUGACUGUUUUUAGAAAUGAAGGAUUUGACUAUGGUUCAAGCAACAAAAAAUAUUUUCAGAGAUGAAGGAUUACCGGUUGGUUGUUUAUGUAUUAUGAUGGUAUUUACACUGGUUUUGAUUAAAGGCUGUAAUUUCAUACUUGUAAAUUGUUCAAACGUGAUUGGAAAUGUACGAAUAUUACAAAGUGUGUUAUGACGUAUAUA
Cucumis sativus (cucumber) is the source of this 895-nucleotide RNA transcript. RefSeq lists it as uncharacterized. NCBI's taxonomy places the organism in Eukaryota, Viridiplantae, Streptophyta, Magnoliopsida, Cucurbitales, Cucurbitaceae. The transcript has 6 exons. The record is from RefSeq and is a predicted model, not a curated record.